This 8458-nucleotide long non-coding RNA is filed under the name Heterocephalus glaber (naked mole-rat). RNAcentral's name for it is "lncRNA (ENSHGLG00100050538.1)". Lineage: Eukaryota; Metazoa; Chordata; Mammalia; Rodentia; Bathyergidae. The record is from RNAcentral.
CUCAGCCAGAUCAUGGGUGGAUUAUGGAACCCGCGGAGCUCCAGUCUGCAUGAAAUGGAGCCAGCACAGGGCUAUGUCAGCCUGGACAAGAGGCAGGAGAAAGAAGCCACGCAGGGUCCCGAGCAGGGUCGGCCCUCAGCUGGCCUCGAAAGCUCCAGUGCAGUGAUCGCCAUCACAGCUGAGGGUUAAGAUGGGGCCCAGCUGCACCCUGGACCUGCUUCCGGGGAAGCCCAACUUGGACAGCACGUGCCAGGAGCAGUGUGACCAACUGGCCACAAAAACAGGACUUGGGAGUGCAUCCCCACCCCAGCUGGUGAGGAGAACCCAGGGCAGGGGCCAAGCAGGGGACAGGGAGCCCCUCUGAAGAGGAGCAGCAGUGUCAGAGAAAGUGGGGAGGAGGGGCUGAAGGAGGAGGAACCCCAUGACCAACCCAGGUACAAGGCAGCAACGGCCGGGAGUGCCAAGACCUGACAUGGGAGACCGUGUAGCAGUCAGCUUUCUGUCACUGGGACGCAACACUGACGCCCACAACUUCAAGGAGAAGUUUGUUUCGGCUCACGGUGUCAGGGGGGCUCAGCCCACAGACCAAAGGCUGCAAGGCGCAUGGUGGAAGGACCUGGUGCAAGGAGCUGGUGGAGGAAAGCUGCUCACCUGUGGCAUCCAGGAAGCAGAAAAAGGGGAGGGGCUGAAUUCACCUUUCCAGGCCUUUCCCCAGUACCCGCCUCCAGCCAGGGCCAGCCACUAACAGCACAGCUACUAAGUCCUCCACGCAUGAAUCCACUCACGCGUGUGGCACCCCCAGGACCCAGUUACCUUCCACGUGCAUGAGACGUUGGGGGACACUGCAGGUCGAAACCACAACAUCUGAGUUGAAUCUGAAGUCCUCCCACUCCACUGAACUCUAGAUCCUGCCAGCUUGGCCCGCUUGUCCCCGUGAAGGGCAGGUGCCCCAGCAGUCAGGUGUGCAGGGGGCUCCUCGCUCCAGGACGGCAGCUCCCCUCAGGGUGUGCCCCACCCGCUCCAGGCCACUAGGUGGAUGCCCCCGUUAGAUCACAGCGUAACUCACAGGCACCGUGAUGGAUCAGGCGCACUCCGUGGCCCAGGCCCAGAUCCCGCAGGCCCAGGGACAUGACGUCGGGGAUGUGAAGUGAAGCCCUUGGCGAGAGCUUUCCCGCCGUGCAGGAUGCUACACCCUGGUAAGGCCCGAAACCGACGCUGACACUGGCAGGGUGGCACGUAGAGGCUGGGAAGGGGGUGUGGACACCAGAACCGUGCUGACUGACCCAGGAAGGGCAGAGUCCCAGGCCAGCUGGUGACUGUGUCCCGCGGCAGUGGGCCUGCCCGGCACUCCUCCAGGGCUGGGAGUUAGACCUGGGAGCCAGGAGGCUCGGCCGAGGGCAUGCUGGGACAGGCACGCACAGGAGCCUGGGGGCUGCACGCGUCCCGGGCUGGUGAGUGAAGCCCCUCUGGACAGCAGCCAGCUCGGUCCCGGGCCACAGGACUGCACGGCCAGGAGCCUAGGACACCCAGCUGCUGCCACCGGGGAGGGUCCUGCAGUUCGCUCAGCCCCACCGCCCAGCACAGGUGAGACACCCAGGGCUGCGGCCAGAGCCAGGUGAGCGGGGGACGAGAGGGGCCCCUGCCUCCAUCCGGGUUCACAGCGUGCUCGGCCCAGGUGGCUGCAGCCACAGUGAGAAGCCAGGAUGGAGGGGGACAGCCCGCCCAGUCACAGCUGGGGAAUGGAGGGGCUGGGACACAAGCCAGGACCUGGACGGCCAGUGACAGCACUGCCUCUGGGGCUGCCUGCGUGACCAGGCCAGAGCUCGCUUCCUCCAGGGCCCAGCCUGCUGCCUGGCUGGUCCUUCCCAGCCCCCCGGACACCAGGAUCCCUUCUAAUCCCCGUCCCCUCGGUGUGACAUAGGGGACAGACCCCAUGUCUGCACUGCAGCUUUGUGGAUCCUGCAUUUCUAUCCUCUACCUCAGUAUCCCCAUGUCUGCCCCAGUGCAGAAGCACCAGGGACUUUAUGUAAACCAUCCGCCUUUGGUUUGAGAGCUGAGGACAGAACCCAGGGCCUGGUGGGUGCCAGGCAAGCGUUCUGCCACCCAGCAGCACCUCUGGCCCCUAAAUCCUCUUUUUAUUCUCACUCUCAGGACAUGGUCGUUGUGCCCAUUUUACAGAUGACAGCCGCAGGGCAGGACCUGCCCAAGACCUCCUGCCAAGGCGGGUGGGGCUUGAACCAGCUGUCUGCCCACCUGUGCUUCCUCCUCCUUUCUAGCCCUCGCUGGCGAGGCUGGGGGUCCCAGCUGUCCCUGCCUGGGCCGCCAGCAGCCGUGCUGUCCUGAAAUGGCCCGGACCAAAGGGCCUAGCUGCAGUUACUCAACAACAAUAAGGAUGAGUUGUUUGCGGUGGCUGUCAGCCAAGGCUGCAGCCGCCUGCCCACCUCGGAGGCGUCUGGGAGGGGCGUGGCCUCUCCGGGCUCCUGCACUGCAGACCCCAGCCGACCGCCCCUGCUCCAGACCUCGCCCUGCCUGCCGCCUGCUGCCCCUCCACACCCAACCCAGAGCUCACGGUGCCUGGAUCCCUUUACCCGCGCCCCUGCGCUGAGGACCUGGCUUCCCGUCCCACCCGAGAGAUGGCUGGGCAGCAGCCCUCCCUGCAUGUCCGAGUCCCCGCAGUGCCUUCAGAGAGCCUCCUCCCUGUUCCCAUCUGUGAGGCGGGGGCAGCUGGCUGCCCGGCACGUGACCCUGUGCGGCUGAAUACGGCUGGUGGUGGAUGCAAACCGCAGGCUCACGCUUCAGAAGGCCUCCGCUAACGGGGUUUUCCCCGCAUCCGCGGCUAUUUCCUCCCCACCAGGGUGGGCAGCAACCCCUCUUGCUGGAGCUCUGUCUGCGCCAAUCAGCCUGCUCCCUCCCUCCCGCUCCCUGAGUUGCGCCCCCCAUGUCUGAACCUCAGUCCACAUCCACUCCCCAGUCUGCAAGUAGGAGGCCCCUGGGGCAAGGUGGGACUUCAACACAAAGGGGUUGGGUUUUCGUCUGGGGCUGGGGCCGCUGCCGUUGGCACUGGUUCCUCAGCCCUAAGCCAGCCCCCGGGCCCCAGACUUCUCUUGGCUCUGUCCUCAUGGUUGCAAGAGUGCUACCGCGGCUCCAAACAUCCAGCCGACGUUCAAAGGCAGGAGGCAGGAAGAGGCCAGGGAGGGCCUCCCUCACACAGCUUCUCUUAUCAGGGGGGACAGAGUCUCCGUCCACACGUCUCACUGGCCAGAGCUGGUCCUGUGGCCCGUGAGCUGCGGAGUCCGGGAAAGAAGCCCCUCGAAGGGGGAAUGCUACCGCUCUGCCCAGCCACCAAUGGCAGAGACCUGGCUGGCCCCUCCUCCCAUCCCAAGGACUACGACGCCCCCCCGCUGCGGGAGGUCACCCCGUGCCACCUGCCCCGUGCACACCCCUGCUCUAUGCUGGUCUUGAUCCUCCUCCUUCCCGGGCCCAGCCCUCCUGCCCCAGGUGAUAAUUUUAAGUCCAAACUCUCCUCGGGCUCUCAAGGAAGCGCUGGCUCCAGCAGGGGCUGCACACGCCUGCGUCCUGCCCGGAGGCCCUGCCAGGCUGCUGGAGGCCUGAUGCCACGUGGGGCCCAGCUCCGAGCACACGCUCCCCUCCCUGUGCCCAGCAGGGACGGCUCUGUGUGGUGCCCUCCGGGAGCAAAGGGCCAAGUGAAGGUGCUGGUCACCCCGCCGGGCUGUGCCCUGUGUCCUCUGAGCACCCUCCAUGUCUCUUCCUCCCUCCCUCAGUCUCCCUGAGAUCCCGGGGCCGGAAGAUCCCAAGGAGGAGGCUGAGAGAGGGCAGAAAGCGUCUGACGAGGCCCAGGGUGCCCCAGUGAAGACGCGCUGGGCUUCAGGUGAAGGUCAGCAGCAGUGAGUUCCAGGCGCCCCUGCCCUCCAGAGCCCCCCAGGCCCAUGCCCGACCCCUGGGCUCCCAGGACUGGCGGGGAAGGAGGCCAAGGGCUCAAGAAGCUAUAAGCUUCUCAGGGCAUCACUGCUGGCCACUGCCAGGUGCGGGGUGGCCUGGGCCUCGGGCUGCACAGUGGGCAGUGGAGGCCAGAGCCGGGGCUGGGAAGGCCCCAGGUGGCAGAGCUGGAUGGUGACCAGCAGCCCAGCACCCGGGCCCAGGACAGGACACUGUGUCUUGAUUAUUUCCAGUCUCCUGACCCCCAAGUAGCGAGGUAAUGUUCCUGUUUACUCCGAGGGCUAGAACAGGAGGCGGGGCGGCUAAGCUGGCCUCCUGGCAUUGCCCCCCAAACUUCAGGUAAGACAGCAGCCACAGGGAGCUAAGAGUCACAGGGGGUGGGAGCCAGGGCUCUGGGGGCUCCAGGGCUUUCGGGACCAGCCCAGGAUGCAGGGAUGUGGCUGGGAGACCCGCCACCGCGGCCAUGAGGCUGAGGACCGAGGGCCACAGCAUCCGGUUCGCCUUGCCUGGCUAAGUGUGGCUUCAUCUUGCCCUCUGGGUGGCGAAGGGACGUUAGCCCGGCCGGGCCCUCAGACGUGGGGGGCAGCUCUGCAUCGGGGCCAGCAGCCUGUGGCUGACCGGGAGGGGCUCCAGGAGUUGCAAGCCCAGCUCCGACUUCUGUGGUCUGGACUCCUGAGAUGCUCACGGAUCUGCCCAAGGGACCUGCCUGGCACCCAGGGCCGGCGUCCCGGGGCCGGGUGAGGGCAGCAGCUCUGUCAGGCAGGACCAGCAAAGGUUUGCUGUGCUUUUUUCAAUGCUAGCAAGGCAAAAGCUGUACUGCCACGCACCCCACCCGCAGUGUUGUUUCCUUUUUGUUUUUAAUAAGCAACACGAGUUGGCACCAACUCGCUGCUGGCACCAACGUGAGAUGCCAGUGUGACUUUCACACGCAAGGGUCUCUUCCCUUAUGGAGAAGCACCCCUCCCCUCCCCCACUCACUCCACACAGACACACAUGGAGGGAGGGCGUGGCACAAGGACCGCGGGUGUGCAGGCAGGGGUGGAGGCUCAGGGACACGACACCCCAGUCUCCACGUGUCUGUGCCGUCACCAGGCCCCUGAGGAAGGAGCCCAGAGCCCUCCCUGCAUCUCCCGAGUGUCACAGAGCCCAGGACAGGAUGUCACUGAGACCUGGGAGGGCAGAGACCCCUGUCUCUCCCUGGCACUUGUGUGACCUCCACCUCAGUUUCCCUAUCUCUGAUACCAAAGGGAGUCCGCAAGUACUGUCACCUCCUAUAAGGCCAGGGUAGGGGACAGAGAGCUCAUAUCUGGGGAAACCCUGAUGGGCCCGAAUCUCCCACGUGAGACAGAAGCCAGGGUGGACACCCUGCCUAGCCCGUCUACUUCCCCCCUCUUCCACCAAUAGCUGUGUGGCUUCCGGCAGGUUUCUUGACCUCUCUGGACCCAAGCGUCAGCACUGAGCAGGCUUCUAUCCGGGGACUGACGGGGCUCGGGGUGGUCGGGGACACCUGCACUCCACCCCGAAGCCCGGCCUACGAGGCCACCUCAGGCCACUCCGGGUGGGAAGACGGGGACAGUCGCAGCGCGAGUCCCUCCCCCCACAGUGGCUGUAGAGGGAAAAACAUCAGCCAAAUCACAGCUGAAACUACGUGCAGCGCCUGGAGAGGCUGGGACUGGGGCCGGAAGGGUUGAGAUACUGUGGCCCCAGGGAGAGGCCCCGGGUGCCCAGCUGUGCACAACCUGGGCUCGGGCAUCACCCGGGGCCAGCGUGGUCCCCAGCCCCUCACCCCGCAACCAGGGAGGGCGACGGCACAGGCAGGGCUGUGGGACUUCAGAAGGAGCGGAGGGACACCCAGCGGGGAGUCUCGGGAAGCUGAAAGCCAGGAGGGGGGGGCCCAGGUGGGAGCCGCUGAAGGGGGGCACUGCUUCCGGAAGAAGGCCCUAGGCCCACAUCCCCACGCCCCUCGGUCCAGGCACAUGCCCACAGCGCACACCGCCUCAGCCCGGCCCUCGGCCAUGCCCUGAACCAUGCAGGACACCCAGGCCAGGCGGCCAGCCAGGCCACGCCCCAAGAGAUCAUUUCCCGAAAUCCUCAGGGUCCUGUCAGCGGCAGCUCAGCCCCAGGCUCGCCGAGUCCUAUUGCCCCCUCACACUGCACCCCAGCUGGUCUUGCCCAAGGUGUGGGGUUAAAGGAGGUCAUAGCAAUAGGGAAGCCCCUGCCUACUGCAGGGGCCGGGAGACCCUGGUGGAGAAGGCAGUGAGGGCCCCAGGAGGAAGCCAGUGGACAGUUCUGACACAUAGCUGCACCACGGCUGGAGAUGAGCUGGUGCCAUCAUCCCCACUCCACCUGCCCCCAGCCCAUGUGUCCAGUGACCACGGCCCUCCAACAAUAAAAUGCUGGAGGGGAAUGAGGGAAGCGCCGGCAUGCCCAUGCAGUGCCCCGCGGGGUGCCAGAGCCCCGUCGCGGUCACAGCUGUGUGUGGAAGAGCCCAGCCCUGGGGACACCUGCAAACAGCUGCUUGUCCACAGCCUCUGGGACAUGGGCUGGGCCCCUGCAGGGAGCAAGACUGUCCCCAGUGGAGCGCACGUCCUGACGGGCUCUGAGGAUCGUCUGCAUGUGGCCAGCGUCACAGUGGCAGGGCCAGCAGACGGCGAGCUGCCCAGACCUGUCUGGAGCCCUGCCAGCCUCAGAGUCCUUCAUGGAGAGCCGGGCAUCUGGGAGACCUCGCAGGUCAGCAGGGCCUGGGGCCAGGGAGGAGCCACAGACAGGCGACAGUGAGGAGGAGGUGACAGUGUGGGCACAGGGCCAUCCAGUGCCUGCCCGCACUGUCCCGUGCAUGCAAAACCUCAAUGCCAUUUCACAGAGUGGUGCUCUGAAGCCCAGAGAGAACAGGGUUCUCCGAGGCCUGGAGCUGGCCCCAGGACGGUGCUCGCAGGAACAUGCUGUGGCCAUCCAGCCCUGGCCACUUUGCCUAGCCUGCCUGUGGGGCUCCUCCACGGGAUUCGCAGAAAGGCUGCCCUGCUGCAGCUCGCGGUGCCAGCAGGAGAGCGAGAUGGGGCUCGUCCACUGUGCUUGCUAUGCAGCAGGCCCUCGACCUUUCAAUUUGAAAGAGAUUUGUCUCCUUGGCUGAAGAUUAAACAAUAUGCAGGCAAGAUCCAGUCCUGUCUUGCUCCCCUGGAUAGACGAGUGUACCCCCAAACAAACAUUCCACAAACUCUUAGAGCAGGAAGGGUCUCCCUUCACCCUGAAACAACUCACGGUGCAGAUGAGUUUGGGAAGGGGCUGUGACUUACUAUGUGGCCCUGAGACCCCGGAACCUCCCUCCCCUCUCCCCAGCCCUGGCCCGCUCCAGCCACCUGGCCCACUCCCUGCCCAUCACACUGAAGGACACUGCCCCAAAGAGCCUGACCCAGCUGGGGCUCCAGCCCUGUUCCAUCAUUGAUUGUGAGGUCGCUGCACAUCACUGGGCCUCUGUCUCCCCUUCUAUAGCAUGAGAGAUCCAAGACCUUUUCAUGUCUAGUACUCUGCACUAUGCAACCUAGAAUAGGAAUGCUAGAUCCCCAGCACACAUGCCCUAUCUUGUGAUUUCUGCACUCAUGGCAGACAUCACUAAUCAAUUGCCAAUCUUCACCACCAAGUUCCUAUUACAUAGCAGAGUCCUCAACACAGUGCACAGGUAACCAUUUUCUCACCCACUUAUCAUAGGCACAACUGGGUCUAAAAGACAGGCACACCUACAGCAAGUGGCAAUGAGAGGAACUGCUUCAGAAGGGGCCCUGCAAGGGGCUCUUGCACCAAGCAGGUCUCCCUGGGGGCCUGACAUGCCCACAAAGCCCAGAGAGCUGCACAGAGUAAGAGAGCUGCAGGACACAGCCUUGCCGCCUUCUCUCCUUAGCCUUCCCACUGCCAUUUGUCUGCAGCAGGCCCAGAGGCCCCAAGGGAGACAAGACCAAGGCUCAGACCCCACCAUCCCUCCAGGGCGGCCCAGGCCCCUGCAGGGCCUCUGAUUCCUCCUGAAGCUGAGCUGAGGUCCCGAGGUCAGGCACGGGAGCCUGGGUGUCCUGUGUGUGGCCCGAGCUGGGGCAGGGCUGGGUCUUGGCAGGGGAUGGACCUGCUCCCGCACCCGGCAUGGCAGCACGGCCUUGCGCCGGCUCACUCCUCACUCCACCAAGGCGGGCAGGUGGGGAGCAGGGCUGAGGCUCCGCGCCCACCCCUGCCAGCUUGUACUUAAUUAUAAUGAUAAACGGUGGCAGGCGUCCACGGCCACGUUGCGGAACAUGACAAACACUCCGCAUCUCGGAGCCAGCCGGCUGGGCUCCCACUCCCUGCACCCCUGCACAGUAGGUGAAGGUUAUGCGAGGCCACGAGGCCCCUCCCCUGCCCCAGGCUGGACCCAUGGCCACUGGAAGCUGGACCUGCACCCUCACCCAGCCCAGGCUCCCUCACACCCAGGCUCAGCUCCUCCCAGCAACCUCAGGAGGACUUGUGUCAAAACUAGGAC